This 785-nucleotide ribosomal RNA is filed under the name Alutaceodontia alutacea. Its description in RNAcentral is "partial small subunit ribosomal RNA". It matches the Rfam family "Bacterial small subunit ribosomal RNA", at positions 233 to 1210 of the family's 1533-position model. The record is from RNAcentral. Lineage: Eukaryota; Fungi; Basidiomycota; Agaricomycetes; Hymenochaetales; Schizoporaceae.
AUUUUCGAUUAGGUAGUUGGUGGGGUAGAAGCCUAUCCAAGCCGAAGAUCGAUAGUCAAGUUUGACAGAUCAAAUGACCACAUUGGGAAUGAAAUCUCCCAAGUAGCUAAGGCUACCAGCAGUCAAGAAUAUUAGUCAAUGCUCGCAAGAGUGAACUAGCUAACUGAAAUCAUCUUUGUGUCAAAGGUGAUAACAUAAGGGAGAAUAAUGAUGUUACCUUAUUUAUAGUGUCGUCCAAGUACUCGUGCCAGAAGACUCGGUAAGGCGAGAGACGCAAACGUUAGUCGUCUUUAUCAGGCGUAAAGGGUUUGUAGGCGGCUUUAAGAAUUCAAAAAAUGGAUCAAUUAAAGCUAGAAUCAAAAGUAGGUUAAGUUAUUUAACGCUUUAGGUAGAGUUGGUAUUUGGAGAUCUAAAGUAGAAAACUAUGGGCGAAGGCUUUUUUCCAAUAAUGAUUGACGCUGAGAAACUAAGGUGAGGACAGAAAAAAGGAUUAGAGACCCUCGUAUUCCUCACUGUCAACAAUGAAUGGAAGUUAUUACAAUAGAAGUAAAAGCGAUGUUAACACGAAAAACCAUUCCGCCUUGUGAGUACGAUUGCAAAAUUGAAAACAAAAAAAUUAGUCGGUUUCGGAGCAAACGAAGUGAAGCAUGUUAUUUAAUACGAUAAUCCGCGUAUAAUCUUACCAGUUCUUGUAUAAAAACUUUAUUUUAAUCAUUUUUUUAGUUUUAAAAUAAGUGAUUUAAAUUAAAGGGAAGGUUUAAUUAAGUGUAUACAUUUAAGGGUCU